GCAUAACGCGAAGAACCUUACCAAGGCUUGACAUGCAUCUCUAAGCGCGUGAAAGCGCGUGACCCUUCGGGGGAUUUGCACAGGUGCUGCAUGGCCGUCGUCAGCUCGUGUCGUGAGAUGUUGGGUUAAGUCCCGCAACGAGCGCAACCCUUGUGACUAGUUGCCAGCACGUUAUGGUGGGAACUCUAGUCAGACUGCCCAGAUCAACUGGGAGGAAGGUGGGGACGACGUCAGGUCAGUAUGGCCCUUACGCCUUGGGCUGCACACGUACUACAAUGCCCAGCACAAUGAGAACCGAGACCGCGAGGUGGAGGAAAUCUAAAAACUGGGCCCAGUUCGGAUUGGAGGCUGCAACUCGCCUCCAUGAAGUUGGAAUCGCUAGUAAUGGCGCAUCAUCUACGGCGCCGUGAAUACGUUCCCGGGUCUUGUACACACCG
This 437-nucleotide ribosomal RNA is filed under the name uncultured bacterium. RNAcentral's name for it is "bacterial SSU rRNA". It matches the Rfam family "Bacterial small subunit ribosomal RNA", at positions 954 to 1392 of the family's 1533-position model. The record is from RNAcentral.